Molecule: unclassified non-coding RNA, 345 nt
Filed under: soil metagenome
Description: partial contains 5.8S ribosomal RNA, internal transcribed spacer 2, and large subunit ribosomal RNA
Rfam family: 5.8S ribosomal RNA (bases 1-120)
Source: RNAcentral
GAUGAAGAACGUAGCGAAAUGCGAUACGUAAUGUGAAUUGCAGAAUUCAGUGAAACAUCGAGUCUUUGAACGCACAUUGCGCCCUCUGGUAUUCCGGAGGGCAUGCCUGUCCGAGCGUCAUUGCUGCCCUCAAGCACGGCUUGUGUGUUGGGCCCCGCCCCCCGAUCCCGGGGGGCGGGCCCGAAAGGCAGCGGCGGCACCGCGUCCGGUCCUCGAGCGUAUGGGGCUUUGUCACCCGCUCUGUAGGCCCGGCCGGCGCUUGCCGAUCAACCAAACUUUUUUCCAGGUUGACCUCGGAUCAGGUAGGGAUACCCGCUGAACUUAAGCAUAUCAAUAAGCGGAGGA